Molecule: ribosomal RNA, 474 nt
Filed under: uncultured bacterium
Lineage: Bacteria
Description: bacterial SSU rRNA
Rfam family: Bacterial small subunit ribosomal RNA
Source: RNAcentral
GAUGAACGCUAGCGGAAGGCCUAAUACAUGCAAGUCGAACGCGUCCUAAGGGCAACUUUAGGAUGAGUGGCGAACGGGUGAGUAUCACGUGGGUAAUCUUCCUUUAAGUGGGGAAUAAGCUCUCGAAAGGGAGUCUAAUACCGCAUGACAUUCCGGGACACAAGUCCCGUAAUCAAAGCCGCAAGGCGCUUGAAGAUGAGCCUGCGUCCUAUUAGCUAGUUGGUGGGGUAACGGCCUACCAAGGCUCAGAUGGGUAGCCGGCCUGAGAGGGUGAACGGCCACACUGGGACUGAGACACGGCCCAGACUCCUACGGGAGGCAGCAGUGAGGAAUUUUGCGCAAUGGGGGAAACCCUGACGCAGCGACGCCGCGUGGAGGAUGAAGGCCUUCGGGUCGUAAACUCCUGUCAGAGGUGAAGAAUGCCCGCAAGGGUUUGACGGUAACCUCCAGAGGAAGCCCCGGCUAACCUACGUG